GUUAGGAAUAUUGGACAAUGGGCGCAAGCCUGAUCCAGCCAUGCCGCGUGAACGAUGAAGGCCUUCGGGUUGUAAAGUUCUUUAGCCGAUGAUUAUAAUGACUGUAGUCGGAAAAUAAGCCCCGGCUAACUUCGUGCCAGCAGCCGCGGUAAUACGAAGGGGGCGAGCGUUAUUCGGAAUCACUGGGCGUAAAGCGUGCGUAUGCGGUCUCGUAAGUUAGGAGUGAAAGCCCAGGGCUCAACCUUGGAAUUGCUCUUAAAACUGCAAGGCUAGAAUCUCGGAGAGGAUAGCGGAAUUUCCAGGGUAGCAGUGAAAUGCGUAGAUAUUGGAAGGAACACCAGUGGCGUAAGCGGCUAUCUGGACGAGUAUUGACGCUGAGGCACGAAAGCGUGGGGAUCAAACAGGAUUAGAAACCCUUGUAGUCC
RNAcentral lists this ribosomal RNA (425 nucleotides) under uncultured bacterium. Its description in RNAcentral is "partial 16S ribosomal RNA". It matches the Rfam family "Bacterial small subunit ribosomal RNA", at positions 354 to 796 of the family's 1533-position model. The record is from RNAcentral.